CAGCCGCCGCGGUAAUACGAAGGGUGCAAGCGUUAAUCGGAAUUACUGGGCGUAAAGCGUACGUAGGCGGUUUGUUAAGUCUGUUGUGAAACCCCCGGGCUCAACCUGGGAAUGGCAAUGGAUACUGGCAAGCUAGAGUGUGUCAGAGGAUGGUGGAAUUCCCGGUGUAGCGGUGAAAUGCGUAGAUAUCGGAAGGAACAUCAGUGGCGAAGGCGACUACCUGGAUUGACACUGACACUGAGGCGCGAAAGCGUGGGGAGCAAACAGGAUUAGAUACCCCAGUAGUCCCUGUCUCUUAUAA
RNAcentral lists this ribosomal RNA (301 nucleotides) under uncultured bacterium. RNAcentral describes it as "partial 16S ribosomal RNA". It matches the Rfam family "Bacterial small subunit ribosomal RNA", at positions 509 to 809 of the family's 1533-position model. The record is from RNAcentral.